Non-coding RNA from Paramuricea clavata, 516 nucleotides. Lineage: Eukaryota; Metazoa; Cnidaria; Anthozoa; Malacalcyonacea; Plexauridae. The record is from the annotation of a GenBank genome assembly.
UUCUCCACUAGGCGAAUUUAUUCGCGCGAACAGAUAAAAAGUAGGAAGCGAUCCUACUUUUUCGCCGCGAAUUUUUUCGCCGACCAAUCACGUUGCCGGAUUUCAGUUUUCGCUUCGCGUCGCGCGAACAAAUUCGCGUAGUGGAGAACGGGCUUUACGGUUUUGUAAUGGAAGUUACACUUCUGUAUGUCUUUAUUCUGUGGUUGAGGCAUCCAACCACGCCAUCAAUCCCAGUAAAAACAUUAGGUCACGUCAGCUAGUUUCCUAUCCAUUUAUUUUAUUAUCCAUGGUCUCGUUGAGGAGUGUGUAGAAAGAAUUACGAAUUUGCCAUCUUCGCUAUUUCUUCAAGCGGCAUCUAUAGACGUCAUAGUUACGUGUGACGUCAUCAUUUCCUCACAGUCACUUUAUGAUAUGCUCCUUUCUCAAAGUUCGUAUCAAUUUGCCAGAAUUAGUAAUCCAUUUUUCAAUCGUGUUCAACCUUGUAUAAUUUAUUAAUCAUACUCGAAUACGUUUGGA